This 253-nucleotide ribosomal RNA is filed under the name uncultured bacterium. Its description in RNAcentral is "partial 16S ribosomal RNA". It matches the Rfam family "Bacterial small subunit ribosomal RNA", at positions 524 to 776 of the family's 1533-position model. The record is from RNAcentral.
UACGGAGGGUGCGAGCGUUGUUCGGAAUCACUGGGCGUAAAGCGCGUGUAGGCGGCCCAUUAAGUCUGAUGUGAAAGCCCGGGGCUCACCCCCGGAAGUGCAUUGGAAACUGAUGGACUCGAGUCCCGGAGAGGAGAGUGGAAUUCUUGGUGUAGCGGUGAAAUGCGUAGAUAUCAAGAGGAACACCUGAGGUGAAGACGGGUUGCUGGGCUGACACUGACGCUGAGGCGCGAAAGCCAGGGGAGCAAACGGG